Molecule: transfer RNA, 71 nt
Filed under: Cordylochernes scorpioides
Lineage: Eukaryota; Metazoa; Arthropoda; Arachnida; Pseudoscorpiones; Chernetidae
Description: tRNA-Gly
Source: RNAcentral
UGCAUCGGCCGGGAAUCGAACCCAGGCCGCCCGCGUGGCAGGCGAGCAUUCUACCACAGAACCACCAAUGG